Molecule: ribosomal RNA, 403 nt
Filed under: bacterium
Lineage: Bacteria
Description: partial 16S ribosomal RNA
Rfam family: Bacterial small subunit ribosomal RNA
Source: RNAcentral
UGGGGAAUAUUGCACAAUGGGGGAAACCCUGAUGCAGCGACGCCGCGUGAACGAAGAAGGUAUUCGUAUCGUAAAGUUCUGUCCUAUGGGAAGAUAAUGACAGUACCAUAGAAGAAAGCUCCGGCUAAAUACGUGCCAGCAGCCGCGGUAAUACGUAUGGAGCGAGCGUUGUCCGGAAUUAUUGGGCGUAAAGGGUACGCAGGCGGUUUAAUAAGUCGAAUGUUAAAGAUCGGGGCUCAACCCCGUAAAGCAUUGGAAACUGAUAAACUUGAGUAGUGGAGAGGAAAGUGGAAUUCCUAGUGUAGUGGUGAAAUACGUAGAUAUUAGGAGAAAUACCAGUAGCGAAGGCGACUUUCUGGACACAAACUGACGCUGAGGUACGAAAGCGUGGGGAGCAAACAGG